GUUGUUCAUCUAUUUGUCUUCUUAAGUCACCUUUCUGGUUCUUCAUCAAGAAGUAGGAUCUAUAUUGUCUUUGCAAUACAACAGUGGCUUUGAUUUGUGCUAUGUAUAGUUUUCUUGCUUCAUAAGCAAGGUAGUGAGACUACACUACAAUUACUGUAUAUUUCAGUUUGAGGAAUUCUUUCCUAUAUCCUCAAACAUCAACA
Amblyraja radiata (thorny skate) is the source of this 203-nucleotide long non-coding RNA. RefSeq lists it as uncharacterized. NCBI's taxonomy places the organism in Eukaryota, Metazoa, Chordata, Chondrichthyes, Rajiformes, Rajidae. The record is from RefSeq and is a predicted model, not a curated record. The transcript has 3 exons.